GUGGAGGGUUGUGAUGCCUGAGGCCCUGGUGGUGCAGACAGGAGGCCAUGCGGGGAGCUCACCCACCUUCUAUCGUCUUCUCUCUUGGGGGUCCCGACCCCGUCUUGCUUUUGCUCUCCCCCAGGCAGCGACAGUGCCAAGAGCUCUGGUGUGUCCCUCAUCAAGGACCCUAGAGUGUGAGACAGCUGCCUUGUGGGGACUGAGGGACACAAGAUUUGUUCACGUCCCACUUUGUGACUUCAGAUCCCCUGCCUCCUGUUUCUGCAGCUGCAUCUGAAUGUGUCUGUGUCCCUAUGAGCAUCCUGAGAGGAGGUGGGGACCCUGGCCCAGCCCUGCCCCCCACGUCCCCUCCUCACCCUGACCUGUGUUCUCUUUCCCGAUCCACCGUCCUUCUCCUGCAGGUGGGGGCGAGGAGGAGGGGUGGCCGGCUCGGGACCAUCUCCAUCCUUAUCUUAACUUCACUGCCCUGAGUAAUGACUUCUUAUUUUCUGAUUGGAAAUAAAAUCUCUAUUGAAUUUGCUUUUUCUAAUCGGAGGCAGGAGGAGUUGAGGGGAUGAUAAAUGAGAUUUCCUAAGCUUGUGAGAGGAAGUAAAUGGAAGGACUGAGAACCUUCCAGAAUCCA
Molecule: long non-coding RNA, 622 nt
Organism: Phacochoerus africanus (Common warthog)
Lineage: Eukaryota; Metazoa; Chordata; Mammalia; Artiodactyla; Suidae
Exons: 2
Source: RefSeq, a predicted model, not a curated record